This 451-nucleotide ribosomal RNA is filed under the name uncultured bacterium. RNAcentral's name for it is "partial 16S ribosomal RNA". It matches the Rfam family "Bacterial small subunit ribosomal RNA", at positions 29 to 523 of the family's 1533-position model. The record is from RNAcentral.
AACGAACGCUGGCGGCAGGCUUAACACAUGCAAGUCGAACGGGUGUAGCAAUACAUCAGUGGCAGACGGGUGAGUAACACGUGGGAACCUUCCUAGGGGUACGGAACAACUCAGGGAAACUUGAGCUAAUACCGUAUACGUCCGUGAGGAGAAAGAUUUAUCGCCCUUAGACGGGCCCGCGUCGGAUUAGCUAGUUGGUGGGGUAACGGCCUACCAAGGCGACGAUCCGUAGCUGAUCUUAGAGGAUGAUCAGCCACACUGGGACUGAGACACAGCCGAGACUCUUGCGGGAUGCACCAGUGGGGAAUCUUGGACAAUGGGCGCAAGCCUGAUCCAGCCAUGCCUCGUGAGUGAUGAAGGGCUUCAGAUUGUAAAGCUCUUUUGCCAGGGACGAUAAUGACGGUACCUGGAGAAUAAGCCCCGGCAAACUUCGUGCCAGCCGCCGCCGUAA